Molecule: ribosomal RNA, 372 nt
Filed under: Staphylococcus aureus
Lineage: Bacteria; Bacillati; Bacillota; Bacilli; Caryophanales; Staphylococcaceae
Description: partial 23S ribosomal RNA
Rfam family: Bacterial large subunit ribosomal RNA
Source: RNAcentral
AAUGAACCGGCGAGUUACGAUUUGAUGCAAGGUUAAGCAGUAAAUGUGGAGCCGUAGCGAAAGCGAGUCUGAAUAGGGCGUUUAGUAUUUGGUCGUAGACCCGAAACCAGGUGAUCUACCCUUGGUCAGGUUGAAGUUCAGGUAACACUGAAUGGAGGACCGAACCGACUUACGUUGAAAAGUGAGCGGAUGAACUGAGGGUAGCGGAGAAAUUCCAAUCGAACCUGGAGAUAGCUGGUUCUCUCCGAAAUAGCUUUAGGGCUAGCCUCAAGUGAUGAUUAUUGGAGGUAGAGCACUGUUUGGACGAGGGGCCCCUCUCGGGUUACCGAAUUCAGACAAACUCCGAAUGCCAAUUAAUUUAACUUGGGAGUC